GAUUCUGAUUCCGGCGCCAGA
RNAcentral lists this non-coding RNA (21 nucleotides) under Arabidopsis thaliana (thale cress). Lineage: Eukaryota; Viridiplantae; Streptophyta; Magnoliopsida; Brassicales; Brassicaceae. The record is from RNAcentral.